This 466-nucleotide ribosomal RNA is filed under the name uncultured bacterium. RNAcentral's name for it is "partial 16S ribosomal RNA". It matches the Rfam family "Bacterial small subunit ribosomal RNA", at positions 28 to 507 of the family's 1533-position model. The record is from RNAcentral.
GAUGAACGCUGGCGGCGUGCCUAACACAUGCAAGUCGAACGGUGAAGCCAAGCUUGCUUGGUGGAUCAGUGGCGAACGGGUGAGUAACACGUGAGCAACCUGCCCUGGACUCUGGGAUAAGCGCUGGAAACGGCGUCUAAUACUGGAUAUGAGCCUCUUCCGCAUGGUGGGGGUUGGAAAGAUUUUUUGGUCUGGGAUGGGCUCGCGGCCUAUCAGCUUGUUGGUGAGGUAAUGGCUCACCAAGGCGUCGACGGGUAGCCGGCCUGAGAGGGUGACCGGCCACACUGGGACUGAGACACGGCCCAGACUCCUACGGGAGGCAGCAGUGGGGAAUAUUGCACAAUGGGCGAAAGCCUGAUGCAGCAACGCCGCGUGAGGGAUGACGGCCUUCGGGUUGUAAACCUCUUUUAGCAGGGAAGAAGCGAAAGUGACGGUACCUGCAGAAAAAGCGCCGGCUAACUACGUG